UAUUUUAAGAACAUAAAAAAAACCUCACUGUUGCCAAACCUUUGAAAGGUAGUAACAAAAAUGUCUUAAUGAAUGAUUAAAUAAAGAAUAACCUGUUAUAAAUUGUUCACAAUACGACAUGAAACAUUAAGAAUGUUAAAAUUAUAGGGUCAGUUUUGCUUUCAUGUUUACUUUACAUCACUUCAUGGUUUCUGCUAUACAUUGUACUUGGAAACACACACACACACAAACACACAGAUAGAUUUGGGGAACAGCAGGAUUAGGACACUUGGGUGGUUGCUUUCUUUCGCGGAGGCACAGUUAGUCUCACAACCAAUCAGGGCACUUGAUUCCUCCGGUAUUUGCAUUGUCUGCUCUAUGACAUCACCAGGGCGCUCGCAUACCUGUGCUGUCAUUGGCUGGUUAUGCCAAAUCUGCUGACCAGCUGCAAAGAUCACAGCCGGUGACAUCAUCAGCCAGCUCAACCAAUAAUGGGGACACUUACAAAGAAAAGAAAGCAACCUACUCAAUACUACUAAUCCUCUCUCGCUCUCCCACUCUCUCUCACACACACACACUUACAGGGUUAAAGUGUUGGAUACACCACCCACAGAAAAAAUAUACUUGUGUGAAUUCUUAAAGGAACAGUUCACUUCAAAAUGAAACGUUCAGACAGCAGAGAGAAUGAUGAAGAUGCCGCAGGAAUGCAGGACUGUGCUGCAGACUGUGAUGGUGGAGCGCUGUAUUUAUGUGGCUGUCCUUAUCAGUAACUCUGGAGAUAAACGCAGUCUGCUGACCACAGCCACAACAGGAACUGCGACUCACAGCGUGACCUGCAGCAAUAAAAUCAAUAUCAACAUGAACGAGCAGAAAGCGAGAAAUGGAAAGAGUCUGUCAGCACCCACUCAGUGUUAAUUCCUCAUCAUUCAACUCCAACAGAAACACCACAGCAGCUCCGGCAUCUGCUACGCCCAGAGUUUGUGUCUGCAAGGUGGCAUGCUGCCAGAUCUCACAGCUGCCAGAGAGAGAGACAUAGAAAAAGGGGGGAAAUAAACCACUGCACAACUGGAAUGCAGUCAACAGUCAGUCUCAGGCGUCUGUGACGUCACAAUCAGGCAUCUGCAUCGCUGCUGCGAGAAACCUUCACCCUGAUCACUCUUUUCAAUGUAAACACUGCACAUCCCGAGUCACUAUAUCAAUACCCAAAACGCGAGAGACCUCAAAAGUUCAAAACUCAUUUUACACUCUCAAAGAAGGUAGAAUAUCUUCUUCAUUGUCAUUUUGAGUAGCAGCUCCAGCUUUUAGUAUGCUGAGUCCACGUUGCAUCUUAUUCUGGUCUUUAAUCUAUAUAUGGCUUAUUUAUAAUUAAAUCGUUAGCUGGAAUUAAAAAAAAAAAAAAAAAGUAUUUUGCAGGCUGCAAAAAAUAUUUCAGUGUCUCAGAAUGACUUGGUUCAUUUACUUUUUUUUUAUAUAGAUGCACUCGAACAAAAUCACCCCACUUUUUCUAGAAAAAAGAAAAAAAAAAACUUUCCAAAUUUAUUCAAGUCAUCUAGUAAAAAUUCCUGUAUUUUUUCCUAUUGCAAUACAUACUGUGGAAAAACUAAAUAUUGCAAGUCAGUUUUUUCUUCCAAUCUCAUGCAGCCCUACGUCACUUUAAAAGUUUGCAAAUCUUGCCCAAGAUAUUUGCAUCAUUCCAAACGUAAGAGAAACAGUGUAGACGUUUUUCCCAUACACCUACGAGUCUUUGUAAACUUCUGUGGUGACGUGCAGUGAGUAAAAAUGAAAAUAAAUCAAUGAAGGAAUGUAUGAAGGCCACUAUCUUUCUCUCUGCAUCCAUCUAGGGUCUGGAAGUGAAGUGUAGUGGAAAAUCUUCCCUCUGUGUGCCUCCAGUGCUGUGUGUGUGGUGUGAUGUAUGUCGGUGUUGUUAUGACAGCUCUUACAGAUGUACAUGCGCCACUUUUUCAUACAACAACACUUCAUAGUGAGCACGUCCUGUCAGGCUUGGUGAACUACUUUUAUGGAGUUUUCAGUCCUUGUUUGACAGUGACUGGUAACUGUGCACUGUCACUAAAUAAAAUUAAGAAGAGUGUAUAUUCCUUAUAAAAAAAGUCUCCUUUUUGAGUGUAAGGUUUUGGAAGGGCAUGAAGGUAAGUGAUCAGAUUUUUAAAAUUAUUCUUUUAACUGUGUAUUUCAAAACAUUACCUGUUCUGACUGCUUUUGGUAAUGAAUUUACUAUGAUAACUUAUUUCCGAAGUGAAGUGAAGUGAAGUGAAGUGAAGUGAAGUGAAGUGAAGUGAAGUGAAGUGAAGUGUGGCUGAGUAUGGUGACCCAUACUUGGAAUUUGUGCUCUGCAUUUAACUCAUCCAAGUGCACACACACAGUAGUGAACACACACCUGAAGCAGUGGGCAGUGGAAUGAAUGAAUGAAUGAGUGAAUGAAUGAAUGAAUGAGCUACAUACAUAAAAGAAAGGUAAUUAAACUUUUUAUCUAACAAUUUAGAUUUUUCAUCCCCUCAGAAUUGUUUAGUUUAUGUUUUACAGUUGUAUUAUAUACUUUUGUUUCUAAGUAUUUAUAAGUUUACAUAUUAGGUAUGAAACUUAUUUCAUUAGAUAUAAGUUAACAGAUCCAAAACAUAGUUUUCAUUUCCAAAACCUCAGAUUCAUUCCUACAGCAUUCUAUAGGGCCGUAUAGACCCAGUUCCAAUAGUUUGUUGUUUGCAUGUUACUAAGCUAUAGCAGAGACAAAUAUUAGGUCAGAUAUACUUCUAUCAGUUUAUUUUAAUUUAAUUUUCAGUUCAUCUUCCGUUAGUGUAGGUGCUUGGCUCAAUGCAUUGUGGAAUCACAUUUUGCUGGAACAGAACUCAUGUUUUCUUAGGCUUGAUGUGUUGAACAGAAUGUACAACAGUAAAUAAUUGAGUGUGCAACACAUUCUUUAAUAAGUACAGCAAUGAGUAUUUUACUAAUCUGUCAAGUUCCUUAUCACUGCAUAAACAAGCCUUACCCUUUUUCAAAAGGAAUAUGUUCACAGCUGUUCAGAUCCUUUAUUAACACAAAGUGAAAAUAUCAGAUGAAUUGGUCUGAGUUGUUUCAUAUAAUUAAGUAUUUCAGGCCAAGUGUUGGAUAUAAUUUUGAUAAAAUCUACGGCCAUUCUUAGACAAAUGUUUCCGGCAUGCUGAAACUCAACAUAGCCCUGCAAUAAAUUUUGAGGGGAGAAAUUUAUUGUUAUGUUGAGUUUCUGUUGAACUCUAUAUGUAAAAUGAUGAUAAAAUAAAUCUUUCAUCUGCCUUGAAAAAUACACAAAGGAGCAGAAAACACACACACACACACACACACACACACACACACACAAGGGCUUUCGUAUUGAUUGCUUUAUUAGCCCUAUUUUCCUAAUGAGAAAAUCUUUUCCCCCAUUAGAAUUUUAUUAAAAAGGCCUUUAAUUUACAUUUAUGAAUUGAUAUACUUUGUAAUUUCAUAUAUUGCUCAACAUUUGUCUAGAAAAACAAUAUCUUGAGUUAUUCCACUCUACAUAACAAAGCUAAAUGUAUGACCAUUUGCAGUUUUUGGUUCUAUUAAAUGCUAAAAAUAACAUUCAGUUAUAAAGCAUGGUUAUAAUUAACCAUUUCAUUCCCAUAAAUUGCAAAAAUGUUCCAUUAAUAGAAGUAUUAGUAUUGGCAAUACUAUAAAAAUUAUUUUCUUAAAAAGCAUCUAAUUAUUCAUUAAUUGGUGGUUCCUCUAUGAACUGAUGCAUUUGUACACUUGGUAAGUUAUCAUUUAUUGUUCAUCAUUUGUUAAGAGAAACAAUAUCUGGAGUUAUCUCAUAUUACAUAACGAAGAUAAAUGUGACAUUUAAUAUUAAAUAAGACUUUGUGUUGUUUAUAUUUAACUCUUUUUUUAAAGAAUUGAUCAUGCGCUGUCAUUGCUAUUGAUAUAUUGUGAACAAAUCAAAAGUCUG
This is a long non-coding RNA of Cyprinus carpio (common carp), 3931 nucleotides long. RefSeq lists it as uncharacterized. The record is from RefSeq and is a predicted model, not a curated record. Lineage: Eukaryota; Metazoa; Chordata; Actinopteri; Cypriniformes; Cyprinidae.